Molecule: small RNA, 73 nt
Filed under: Xanthomonas vasicola
Lineage: Bacteria; Pseudomonadati; Pseudomonadota; Gammaproteobacteria; Lysobacterales; Lysobacteraceae
Also listed under: 10 other names
Description: sX9 sRNA
Rfam family: Xanthomonas sRNA sX9
Source: RNAcentral
AUGUACCACUCGUACUGCGUUCCUCCGCGCCGUCCACGCCUACCUGACGGCCGCUCGCUACGUUUUGUCAGCC